GAAGUCUAGAGGGAGGAAAUGAGAGGAUGUCCUAUUCACAGAAUGGUGGAUGCCACCACCCAGCGACAAGCCAAAGGCGCCUUCUCAAAACUCUGACAAGUAGGGGAAGCAAGCCAGCCUGGCUCCCAGCUAUACCCAACAUGUCUCUUUGAAACUCACUUCAGGACCUAGGAAAGAGCUCAAGGACCAGGCCACAGGCUGUCUGUCCUACCUGAGCCUUCCAGUCACUUCCACAUAUUUCUGAAGACUGGAAGUUGAGAAAAAAAAAUUAAAAAGAAAAUGCUAAGAAAUGCCAAAGCUGGAUAUGUCAAGGGAUUAGAUAAAGUAGAGAACCUUCAUGAGAAGUGUACACACUUGUGAUACAAAGCUAAGCCACCAGGAACUACAAGGACUGAACCCAAAGUCUAAAUGUAUGUGAAAGAUGGCAUUGGAU
Molecule: long non-coding RNA, 433 nt
Organism: Prionailurus viverrinus (fishing cat)
Lineage: Eukaryota; Metazoa; Chordata; Mammalia; Carnivora; Felidae
Exons: 4
Source: RefSeq, a predicted model, not a curated record